GUCUCCUACACCAGCAUGCGGUGGGGAUCGUUUCACUGAAACCAGCGCCCACCCUCUGCCGACGAGGAGUUCCCUGGCGUCAGAGCCUGGAGGAGGAGUGCCCCGAACCUGCUGACCCUCUCUGGUCCGGAGCUGUGGACACUGCUGGUUCUCGGGAGGCCGAGGGAGAUGUGACACACACAGAGGAGAAGACAAUGUGAACACAAAGCAGACAGAUUUGAAGAUGUGCUGGCUUUGAAGAUUGCAGUGAUGUGACCACAAGCCAAGGAAUGCCAGCAGCCACCAGAAGCUGAAGA
This is a long non-coding RNA of Symphalangus syndactylus (siamang), 296 nucleotides long. RefSeq lists it as uncharacterized. Lineage: Eukaryota; Metazoa; Chordata; Mammalia; Primates; Hylobatidae. The record is from RefSeq and is a predicted model, not a curated record.